UAGCCACUCAAGCCUUGCUUGGUGUUGGGGCUCGCGAUCUCGCGGCCUCUAAAAUCAGUGGCGGUGCCGGUAGGCUCUGAGCGUAGUACAUCUCCUCGCUAUAGAGUCCUGUCAGUUCCCUGCCAAAACCCCCAUAUUUUAUA
RNAcentral lists this unclassified non-coding RNA (143 nucleotides) under uncultured Helotiales. Its description in RNAcentral is "sequence contains ITS2". Lineage: Eukaryota; Fungi; Ascomycota; Leotiomycetes; Helotiales. The record is from RNAcentral.